RNAcentral lists this antisense RNA (75 nucleotides) under Streptomyces albireticuli. RNAcentral describes it as "ASpks TB sRNA". It matches the Rfam family "ASpks TB sRNA". The record is from Rfam by way of RNAcentral. Lineage: Bacteria; Bacillati; Actinomycetota; Actinomycetes; Kitasatosporales; Streptomycetaceae.
CUUGACCGUGCCGAGCCACAGCGGCCGGCCGGCGGCACGGUUCCGCCCGUACGUCGCCUGGAGUGCCUGCGCCUC